UACGUAGGGUGCAAGCGUUGUCCGGAAUUACUGGGCGUAAAGAGUUCGUAGGCGGUUUGUCGCGUCGUUUGUGAAAACUCACAGCUCAACUGUGAGCCUGCAGGCGAUACGGGCAGACUUGAGUACUGCAGGGGAGACUGGAAUUCCUGGUGUAGCGGUGAAAUGCGCAGAUAUCAGGAGGAACACCGGUGGCGAAGGCGGUUCUCUGGGCCUUACCUGACGCUGAGGAGCGAAAGCGUGGGGAGCGAACAGG
This 253-nucleotide ribosomal RNA is filed under the name uncultured bacterium. RNAcentral describes it as "partial 16S ribosomal RNA". It matches the Rfam family "Bacterial small subunit ribosomal RNA", at positions 524 to 776 of the family's 1533-position model. The record is from RNAcentral.